This 927-nucleotide ribosomal RNA is filed under the name uncultured bacterium. RNAcentral's name for it is "bacterial SSU rRNA". It matches the Rfam family "Bacterial small subunit ribosomal RNA", at positions 8 to 911 of the family's 1533-position model. The record is from RNAcentral.
AGAGUUUGAUCCUGGCUCAGAAUCAACGCUGGCGGCGUGCCUCAGACAUGCAAGUCGAACGCGAAAGUCCCCUUCGGGGGGUGAGUAGAGUGGCGCCUGGGUGAGUAACACGUAGGUAAUCUACCUUCGGGUGGGGAAUAACGCAGGGAAACUUGCGCUAAUACCGCAUAAUGCAGCGGCACCACAUGGUGACAGUUGUUAAAGCGGGGGAUUUUCGAACCUCGCGCCUGAAGAGGAGCCUGCGGCAGAUUAGCUGGUUGGUAAGGUAACGGCUUACCAAGGCGACGAUCUGUAACCGGCCUGAGAGGGCGGUCGGUCACACUGACACUGACAUACGGGUCAGACUCCUACGGGAGGCAGCAGUCGGGAAUUUUGGGCAAUGGGCGAAAGCCUGACCCAGCAACGCCGCGUGAAGGAUGAAAUCCCUCGGGAUGUAAACUUCGCAAGAAUGGGAAGAAUUAGUAGGGGCUAAUACCCUCUAUGAUGACGGUACCAUUUGUAAGCUCCGGCUAACUCCGUGCCAGCAGCCGCGGUAAUACGGGGGGAGCAAGCGUUGUUCGGAUUUACUGGGCGUAAAGGGCGCGUGGGCGGUCAGCACAAGUCAGUUGUGAAAUCUCCGGGCUUAACUCGGAAAGGUCAACUGAUACUGUGCGACUAGAGUGCAGAAGGGGCAACUGGAAUUCUCGGUGUAGCGGUGAAAUGCGUAGAUAUCGAGAGGAACACCUGCGGCGAAGGCGGGUUGCUGGGCUGACACUGAUGCUGAUGCGCGAAAGCCAGGGGAGCGAACGGGAUUAGAUACCUCGGUAGUCCUGGCCUUAAACGAUGGAUGCUUGGUGUCUGGAGUUUUAUAGUCUCCGGGUGCCAUAGCUAACGCGUUAAGCAUCUCGCCUGGGGGAGUACGGUCGCAGACUGAAACUCAAAGGAUUG